UGGAUGGUGGCGGCCAUGGAGCCUUCUUUAAUCGCCUUCAGGGCGAUCUCGUCGGCGUUGAAACCCACCACCGGGAUGUCCGUGACGCCGCUCUUGCCGGCAUCGGCGAUCGCCUGGGCAGCGCCCACGGCCAUCGGGUCGUUGCAGGAGAACACGCCCGCCACAUCCGGAUUGGCGGAGAGGACGUCCUUCAUCAGGCUGUAGCCCAAUUCCUGCUUGCUGUUGCCGUUCAGGGAGGCGACCACUUCAUAGCCCAGCUCCUUGAUCCGCUUCUCGAAGUUGACGUUGCGCUGCCAGGCAUAGACGGCGGUGGGAUCGCAGGUGAUCGAGGCCACCUUCUUGGAGGUGUUCCCCGUCGUCUUGAUCAUCUUGUCCAGGUAAUCAGCGCCCAUGACGCCGCCUUCGGCGUUGUUGGAGAUGACAAUAACGUCGUAGGCCGUGCCGCCGCCGCCGAUGUCAUCCACAACCACGGGAUGCCCUUCUUCUUGGCUGCAUCCACCAGGGGUCCCAUGGCAUCUGGUUUGACCGGGGAUAUAAUCAGGGCAUCGAUGCCCUGGUUGAUCAGGUCUUGCGUGGCCGAGACCAUGGUGGCCUCGCUGCUCUUCUGAUCGACCAGGACAUAGUCAUAGCCCGCCGCCUCUGCAGCUUCUUUCGUGCCCCUCUCCAUAUCCUGGAAAAAGCCGUACUGCAUGUCGUAGACGGAGAAACCAAUCUUCUUCUUGGCCGUGGCCUCUGGCGUCGCCGGGGCGGCGCAGGCCGUGAUUGCCACGGCCAGGAUCAAGAGCGCCAGCAAACUGGCGACUGUGUUUUUGCGAAACAUGUUCUCACUCCUUGGGUAAAGUAACGAACGGACAAUGUGGGCGCCUUGGGCGCACUAAGAUUAGGAGACGUUCUGCAGUUCGUUUCUUGGCACCUCCUUGGUGGCCAAAAGCCGAUGGCCUUGCACGGAGUCAGGCGCUGCGGCUCAUGCGCUCCUCGACCCGCUGCCGAAUUCCUUCAAUUGAAAGGGCCACAAGCAAAACAAGGCCCUCAACCACACGCUGCCAGAAGGCAUCAGCAUGGAAAAGGUUGAGUACGUUGGCAAGCGUGGCAAACAAAAUCGCCGCCGCCACGGUGCCCAGCAUGCCGCCGCGCCCUCCCGCCAGCCGGGUGCCGCCGAGGACCACAGUGGCGAUCACUCGCAGCUCGAAGCCGGGCUCCAGGCCCGGACCGGCAGAGUAGAGCCGGGCGCCCAGCAGAACAGCCGCAAUUCCGGCAAAGAGGCCGAUGACGGUGAAGACCGUACCCGUCAGGCGCUGCACCGGCACGCCGGCCAGGUUGGCAGCCGUCGUGUUGGAACCGGUGGCGUAGACAUAGCGGCCAAACGGGGUGAAACGCAGCACCCCUUCGCCAACAAGAGCGCAGACGAUAAAAACGAUGAACGGCACCGGCAGCCCCAGAAUCACGCCGUUGCCCAUCCACACGAAGUUAGGGGCGUUGUAACGAUAGGCCUCGCCGCCGGUCAGGAUCAAGGUAAAACCGGCAAUGACGAACAUCAUGCCCAACGUGGCAAUAAAAGCAGGGAUACGAACCCGGCUGACCAGAAAGCCGUUGAUCGUUCCUACGAUCAUGCCGACGACAAGACCGACGAUGAUGGAGGGAAUCACGCCGAAAUGGGCUCCGGUCCACACCGCUGCUGUUGCACACAGCGCCAGGUUCGAUCCUACGGACAGAUCGAAGGUUCCGGAGAUAAUGGCAAUGGUCAUCCCCACCGCCGCCACGCCCACAAAGCUGGCAGACAUCAGGACAUUCUGCAGGUUGUCGAUCGUCGCAAAGUUGGGCGUGAAGAGUGCGGCGAAAAUCCAGGUGCCCACGAGCACAGCGCUGAUGCCAUAUUUCUCCCAGAGCAGGGCCCAGUUCCGUGUUCUGCGACCUUCCGAUCGCCUGACCUCAGUUGCCGUGCUCAUGCAGCCCUCCGUGUCAGUGCGGCGAUCUGGUAUUUGCGUUCGACUCCCAACGCCAGGGUAAUCAGCAGCAGGAGUCCGAUGGUGACCUGCUGGUAGAGCACGGAGACAUUCAGCAGGUUGAGCCCAUUGUUGAUCAUGGCCACCAGAAGACUGCCCAGCAGCGUGCCGACCAACGACGCCCGCCCACCCGUCAGGGCCGUUCCGCCCACGACGACCACCGCGAUAGCCGAAAGCUCCAGCCCCACGGCGAUUCGGGCGCUCGCAGUGACCACCUGGGCGCUGUAGAUCUGGCCCGAAAGCGCCGCACAAGCGCCGACGAUGAUGAAUAUACCCCAGAGGACCUUAUUGACUGGGACACCGGAGCGUCUGGCUGUGUUGACGUUGCUGCCUACCGCCAGGAUGUAGCGACCAAAGCGGGUGUGCUUGACGACCAGUCCGAGCACCGCGGCAAUGACAAGGGCCAUAAUGACCGGCAUCGGAAUGCCGAGAAUAUGCCCACCGGAGAGUACUUUGUACCCCGGAUAGCCCUGGAGGUACAGGUCGCGGCCGUCGGUAUAGAGCAGCGUGGCGCCGCGCACAAUACUCGAAACCGCCAGCGUGGCAAUGAACGCCGGCACUCGCAGCUCGGUAAUGAUGAGGCCGUUACCCAGCCCAAUGAACGCUCCCACGAUGACUCCGGCGACGAUCCCUACUGGAACGCCGAACAGGGGCACAAGAGUAAAGGCAAUGCAGGCCGAGAAGGCGGCGGUGGCGCCAACCGAGAGGU
RNAcentral lists this unclassified non-coding RNA (2712 nucleotides) under uncultured fungus. RNAcentral describes it as "sequence contains 18S rRNA gene, ITS1, 5.8S rRNA gene, ITS2, 28S rRNA gene". Lineage: Eukaryota; Fungi. The record is from RNAcentral.